RNAcentral lists this ribosomal RNA (439 nucleotides) under uncultured bacterium. RNAcentral describes it as "partial 16S ribosomal RNA". It matches the Rfam family "Bacterial small subunit ribosomal RNA", at positions 339 to 795 of the family's 1533-position model. The record is from RNAcentral.
CUACGGGAGGCACCAGUGGGGAAUAUUGCACAAUGGAGGAAACUCUGAUGCAGCAACGCCGCGUGGAGGAUGACACAUUUCGGUGCGUAAACUCCUUUUAUAUGAGAAGAUAAUGACGGUAUCAUAUGAAUAAGCACCGGCUAACUCCGUGCCAGCAGCCGCGGUAAUACGGGGGGUGCAAGCGUUACUCGGAAUCACUGGGCGUAAAGCGAGCGCAGGCGGAUAGAUAAGUUGGAAGUGAAAUCCUAUGGCUUAACCAUAGAACUGCUUCCAAAACUGUCUAUCUAGAAUAUGGGAGAGGUAGAUGGAAUUUCUGGUGUAGGGGUAAAAUCCGUAGAGAUCAGAAGGAAUACCGAUUGCGAAGGCGAUCUACUGGAACAUUAUUGACGCUGAGGCUCGAAAGCGUGGGGAGCAAACAGGAUUAGAUACCCCGGUAGUC